CUUACCGGGUCCGGACACACUGAGGAUUGACAGGCAAAAGAUACAAAGUAGUUUUCGGGCUCUUUGCAUUGUAAAAUAUGCGAGUCCUUUCAUGAUUAUGUGAUAGGUGGUGCAUGGCCGUUCUUAGUUCGUGGAGUGAUCUGUCUGCUUAAUUGCGUUUCACAACGAUUUAAAACACUAUGUUUUUGCGUUUGCUGUUCGGUUGUUUCUUUGUAAAUGACUUUGAACGCACGCAGCGUAGUUGAAAAAACAAUCGGAAAGCAACGAACGUGACCGCAACCUCUUGUUGCCUUUAUUUUAUAAAAUGCAUUUAAUCUUUUUUUGUUUCGGCAAAAUAAGGUUUGUUCAUAAUGUGUUGAAAAAGGCUUUAAAACUAGAGGGACCGCUGUUCUAUUUUCUUAAACCAGAGGAAGAUUGCGGCAAUAACAGGUCUGUGAUGCCCUCAGAUGUUCCGGGCUGCACACGUGCUACAAUGAUUGUUGCAGUGAGCAUCUAUUUUCAAAUGCUGCCGUUGUGGAUUUUAUCGUUGAGUUCUGACUUGAGUGGGAUUUCCUUUUUUGAAGCUUUCGGGUGGAUUUAGAGGGUUUCACAAUGGUAGCUCUGAUAAAUUUUCCAUGUAACGGUUUAGCUAAACCUGCUUCGAAAGCAAGUAGGUAAUCAAUUGGAAGUAACGAUUUCCUUUUUAUAGGAAAGCACAACUUCUGGUCCAUUUGGUAUUGCGGAGGUUUCUUAAGCAAUUUUGAAACUUUUUGUCGAUAUUCCUUUUGGAUAUCUGUGCUAAAAACUUUUUAAUUCAAGGUGGGGACAGACCAUUGUUAAUUGUUGGUCUUGUUUUAACUAGGAAUGCCUUGUACGGGUUGGUUCAACAAACCACCCGGAAUACGUCCCUGCCCUUUGUACACACCGCCCGUCGCUCUUACCGAUGGACUUCUCUGUGAGGUUGAGGGACUGGGUCCUUGGACCUAUGGAAACUUAAUCGAACAGGGUGGUCUAAAGGAAAAAAAAGUCGUAACAAGGCAUCGUAGGUGAACY
Molecule: ribosomal RNA, 1032 nt
Filed under: Bathysiphon argenteus
Lineage: Eukaryota; Foraminifera; Astrorhizida; Bathysiphonidae
Description: bacterial SSU rRNA
Rfam family: Eukaryotic small subunit ribosomal RNA
Source: RNAcentral